Long non-coding RNA from Prionailurus viverrinus (fishing cat), 731 nucleotides. RefSeq lists it as uncharacterized. Lineage: Eukaryota; Metazoa; Chordata; Mammalia; Carnivora; Felidae. The transcript has 3 exons. The record is from RefSeq and is a predicted model, not a curated record.
CUCACCGCUGCCUCAGUGCAGGGCUGUGCGUCCGAACUGGGUCACCAAGGAGGUUCUGCUAAUCUGUCACUCAGACACUCCAUUUAAAAACAUGCCCUCCAGAACCACGCAGCCGUAAGAAGAGGGGUGGAAAACUUCAUACAAUUGUCGUCCUUAUGAUGCAGAUGGAACAGGGCAUAAUCCACAAAGUCUCCGGUGAGCCAGGGCACAGCCGGUGCAACAGCAGAAAGAAGGGCAGACGCGGUCACACUCCGUUCUGCCCAGCGUGGGCCAUGGCCAAUGCUGCCUGGUGGUGCCGUGAGCCCAAGAACGAGGUCAGCUGCACUGCGGACGGGACUUUCUCAGGGAAGGAAGCACUGCGUCGGUCUGCAUUAGCCGCUAAGGCUGUAGAUCAGCGUGCGGAGAAGCACGGAUACAAAUUAUACUUCGUUAUCAUCCAAAGCAGUCCAGGCCGUGGACCAAAGGGUAAAGCUUUCAUCGCCCUUUGCUUUGUUCCUGGGUUCUGGUCAGUUGAGGUCCAACCGGAGACUCGUGACUUAACGUGAGCAGGACUAAGCGAGCCAGCAAGAGACAGUGGAGCCCCUGGGGGUGUCCAUGGCCCCGAGUCAGGUGCAGGGACCCCUAGGGUAGGUGAGAACUGGGGCUGGAGAAGACGGGCCACAUCGAUCGGGCCGGUGGCUGUGGGCUCAGGAGGGACGCCGCUGUCACCAGCAAGCCAGCAGCCAUGGGGA